GUCAAGCCGCCGGCUCUUCUGUGGACCAUCCUAAGACUGACAGGAAUGGUCGGCUCCCCAUUGAGCUUCUCAUGGGAUUUUCUUGAAUCUGCGGUGGCAUUUUCUAAGCAAACUGCUAUUCCCUCCCCCUUCCCUCUUUUGUAAACCUCCCUCCUGGUUCCUGGGAGUGCUGGCCUUCAGAAAUAGGAUAAAGAAGCAGCCUCUGUGCUCUGCUGUCCCUCGACAGCAGAUGGGGGGAGCUGGGAAUACUGUUUUACACAGUGUUAUUUCCUGCACUGAUUUUAAUAUCCAAAAUGUGAUGAUUUAAAUUUAGGGUGCCAAGCAGGACUUGAAUAUUCCCAGCCAUUUCCAGGAGGUGAGUUUGCUGUUUGUGAGCCGUGCUGGCUUGGCCGGGGCAAAUGCAGGAGGAUAUGCACCGAGGAUGAGAAGGUUGUUGGAAAUUGCAAGAUGAACUUUUUCUGUUGCCGACGGAGGAUCAGGUGAACCAGACCAGCCCUCCCCUGGCCUUCAAAGUGGGACUUGGUAUUCAAGGGAGGACAAGAGAAGUCGUGUGCCUUACCCAGGUCACACUAUCGACUUAUGAUUUCAUUAUCUCCAUUUAUAUUUGAAGAAACUGAGACCCAGAGAAGCUUUCAUUUCUUCAAGGUCAUAGCCUGGAAGCUGGAAAUGGAUGUGCACACCCCUGUCCUGUUCUGUGUAUCUAUCUUUGUAUAAUAAUUUAAACCAAAUAGAUAAACAGAAAUGACAUCUGCAUCUCUGUUUGGAAUUACAAUUCUAUAGCAUACAAGAAAUUAUUCAUGUUAUUUCUGGGUAUAUCAAUAAGCGAUCAGUCAUUGAUUCCAAUAUUUACACUGUGUUUUUAAGCAACUCAUACCUACUCAGUUAAUGCCCAUGGCCCCAACUUUGUACUUCUUGCCAAUAAAUUAAG
Molecule: long non-coding RNA, 928 nt
Organism: Canis lupus familiaris (dog)
Lineage: Eukaryota; Metazoa; Chordata; Mammalia; Carnivora; Canidae
Exons: 3
Source: RefSeq, a predicted model, not a curated record